AAACUUUCAACAACGGAUCUCUUGGUUCUCGCAUCGAUGAAGAACGCAGCNAAAUGCGAUAAGUANUGUGAAUUGCAGGAUUUUGUGAAUUCAUCGAAUUUUUGAACGCACAUUGCACCUUCUGGUAUUCCGGAGGGUAUACCUGUUUGAGCGUCAUUU
RNAcentral lists this ribosomal RNA (159 nucleotides) under Lipomyces japonicus. Its description in RNAcentral is "5.8S rRNA". It matches the Rfam family "5.8S ribosomal RNA". From Rfam's summary of the family: 5.8S ribosomal RNA (5.8S rRNA) is a component of the large subunit of the eukaryotic ribosome. It is transcribed by RNA polymerase I as part of the 45S precursor that also contains 18S and 28S rRNA. Functionally, it is thought that 5.8S rRNA may be involved in ribosome translocation. Lineage: Eukaryota; Fungi; Ascomycota; Lipomycetes; Lipomycetales; Lipomycetaceae. The record is from RNAcentral.